GGGAGCCCUGGAAUCGUGACCUGAGCCGAAGGCAGAUGCUUCACUGGCAGAGCCACCCAGUUGCCAGGGAGACACGGGUCUGAAGCUUCUAGGAGCAGUCCGGCCUGGUGCUACGGAUGACUGCGCAGAAGAGCAUGAGAUGCUGUGGCUGGGGUGGGAGGACCACCCGGAGAACGUGGCGGUGUGCAAGCCAGGAGGAAGAGGAGGGGGCGGCCAGCAGAGGCAGGGUGCUCCCGAGGGGACAACGGUAUGUCCAGCAGGUAUCGGCGUGGGAUCAUUGUUGUUGCAGAAAGUGGGAGAGAGCAGAAACCCUUUCACGUUGCCUGUGAGAAUGGAAAAUGGUGUGGCCACCGUGGGACACUAUGGUUUGGCAGUUCCCCACCAAGUUCGGCCCAGAGUGACCGUCCGACCCAGCAGUUCCACUCCGAGGUAUGUGCCCAAGGGGAUAAAACAUACAUGGAUGGACUGAAUGUUUGUGUCCCCCCAGAUUCAUAUGUUGAAGCCCUGACCCCCAAUACGAUGAUUCUGGGAGGUCCAGCCUAUGAGGGUGCGGCCCCCAUGAUGGGAUUCGUGUCUUAUAAGAAGAGGAAGAGGGGUGUCUAGGUGGCGCAGCGGGUUUCGGCUCAGGUCAUGAUUGCAGGGUAGUGGGAUCGAGGCCCUGGAUGGGCUCCCUGCUCGUCGGCGGGGAGUGUGCUGGAGAUUGGCCCUUGCCCUCUGCCGCUCCCCACUACUCGCUUUCUCUCUCUCUCUCUAAUAAAUAAAUCUUAAAAAAAAGAAGAAGAAGAGGCAGACAUGAGCUCUGUCUUUGUCUGCUGUGUGAGCAGACAGCAAGAAGACAGCCAUCUGCAAGCCAGGAAGGCGGCCUUCCCCAGAGCCCGCCACGCCAGAGGCCUGAUCGCACGCUUCCAGCUCCAGGACCGUGAGAAAUCGUUUCUGUUGUUUGGCCACCCAGCCUGUGGCAUUUUGUGGUGCUGGCCCAAGCUGAGACCGUGUGUCCACAGAAACCUCGUACGUGAAUAGCCACAGCAGCAUUAUUCAAACAGCCGAAAAGUAGAAGCCACCCAGUGGUCAUCAAUGAAUGAAUGAAGAAAGAAAUGCGGUGUCUCCACACAAUGGCGUUUACUUGGCCAUAAAGAGAGCGGUGAAGACAUGCUGGCCGCAGCCUAGUGGGGGAGUGGGAGCGCAGUCAGUGUAGGGAGGCCAGUGUGCUGAGAGCUGGGGGCAGAGCUGCGAGG
Ailuropoda melanoleuca (giant panda) is the source of this 1235-nucleotide long non-coding RNA. RefSeq lists it as uncharacterized. The record is from RefSeq and is a predicted model, not a curated record. Lineage: Eukaryota; Metazoa; Chordata; Mammalia; Carnivora; Ursidae. The transcript has 4 exons.